Molecule: ribosomal RNA, 276 nt
Filed under: uncultured bacterium
Lineage: Bacteria
Description: partial 16S ribosomal RNA
Rfam family: Bacterial small subunit ribosomal RNA
Source: RNAcentral
CUUUCUCCGCCGGCGACCGGCGCACGGGUGAGUAACACGUAUGCAACCUGCCCCUGUCAGGGGGACAACCCGCCGAAAAGCGGGCUAAACCCGCGUACAUGCCACCGGGGCAUCCCGGAGGCAGGAAAGGCUUCGGCCGGACAGGGAUGGGCAUGCGGCGCAUUAGGCAGUAGGCGGGGUAACGGCCCACCUAACCGACGAUGCGUAGGGGUUCUGAGAGGAAGGUCCCCCACACUGGUACUGAGACACGGACCAGACUCCUACGGGAGGCAGCAG